RNAcentral lists this transfer RNA (73 nucleotides) under Cricetulus griseus (Chinese hamster). It matches the Rfam family "tRNA". From Rfam's summary of the family: Transfer RNA (tRNA) molecules are approximately 80 nucleotides in length. Their secondary structure includes four short double-helical elements and three loops (D, anti-codon, and T loops). The record is from Rfam by way of RNAcentral. Lineage: Eukaryota; Metazoa; Chordata; Mammalia; Rodentia; Cricetidae.
GGGGAGGUGGCUCAGUCGGUAAAGUGUUUGCCUUGUAAGCAUGAGGACCUGAGUUCGAUCCUCAGAAUCCAUG